This 1050-nucleotide long non-coding RNA is filed under the name Citrus maxima (pomelo). Its description in RNAcentral is "long non-coding RNA (CMAX_LNC002619)". The record is from RNAcentral. Lineage: Eukaryota; Viridiplantae; Streptophyta; Magnoliopsida; Sapindales; Rutaceae.
AAGAAAUGAAAUUAGAAACAAAAAAUACUACAACUGAAAAUUAUUUUUAAACAGUAAACCAAGGCCAUUUUAAUAAUUCCAUUCCGGGACUGAGACAGCAACCCAAAGUCAAAAAGCGCUUUAUACGUUUUACUUCAUCCUGCGCACCUAUCGUCGUCUUAUCCUGCGCACCUAUCGUCGUCUUAUCCUGCGCACCUCACACCGGCUCCAUAGUGAUUCAUUCAAAAUAUCCAGCUCGUUGCUUUUCUCUAUAUCUCAGGCUCUCAGCUAUCUUUCAUGUACGGAUCCAUCAAUUGAACUUCUGUUAUGAGUAUUUUUAUUUUUUAAGUUUUGCAAUAUUUGAGCAACAUUCAGACUAUCAAUCUGAAAUUAACUAGUGGCGGCUUAUGCUCUACGAAAAUUUUACGCUCAAAAAUUAAUUUUAGCUGCAAAAUUUAUAUAAUUUUUUUUUAAUUCACGGGAGGCUGCAACUGAAUUAUGUGUUUCUACUGUAAUUUUGAAUAUUAUUUGAUUUAAUAUGCUUUGUUUGCUUGUUAUUGGUUCGAUCUAGAAUUAUGGUGGCUGAAUUGGAUUGAUUGAACUGUAGCUUGAUAACGUGAACUAUUCACAAUUUCCAUUGCUUAGAUUUUGAAAAGUAUACUGCCAUGUUUUGCUUUAACCUGGCUGCCACUAUUGCGUAUUCUUCUACAUAGAUCAACCCUUCUUACCUGUGUACAUAGAUUUCGUUAAGAGUUAUAAGCAUACAUGGCAUGUUUGGAUGUCCCAUCAAAUUGUUGUAUAUGCGAGAAUGUGGUUGGUAAUGAACUUAUAGCUAUUUGCAAUUAGUUUCAGAAUUUUGAAACGGUGGGUAUACUUGUUCACAACUCAAUCAAAUGAUUUACGCACUCCAGUCGGAUGAUAUAUUCCAUUCUUUUGGUGAUAUCAUGAUUGAAUAUUUGUUAAGGUCUUUUGUUAGAAAAGGUUUUAAUGAUCAUCAUCUAAUCAUCAACAUCUUCAAAUUGUUUAUUCGGCUGCUUCUAACUAAAUUAAAUUGGAAAUUUUGGAAUCAGA